Molecule: ribosomal RNA, 392 nt
Filed under: uncultured bacterium
Lineage: Bacteria
Description: partial 16S ribosomal RNA
Rfam family: Bacterial small subunit ribosomal RNA
Source: RNAcentral
AUACGUAGGGGGCGAGCGUUGUCCGGAUUCAUUGGGCGUAAAGCGCGCACAGGCUGCCGCCUAGGCGGGACCUCUAAUCCCGGGGCUCAACCCCGGGCCGGGUCCCGAACUGGGCGGCUCGGGUGCGGUAGGGGAGGUCGGAAUUCCCGGUGUAGCGGCGGAAUGCGCAGAUAUCGGGAGGAACACCGACGGCGAAGGCAGGCCUCUGGGCCGCCACCGACGCUGAGGCGCGAAAGCCGGGGGAGCGAACAGGAUUAGAUACCCUGGUAGUCCCGGCCGUAAACGAUGCUAGCUAGGUGUGGGGGGACGUGCCCCCGUGCCGCAGCCAACGCAUUAAGCUAGCCGCCUGGGGAGUACGGCCGCAAGGCUAAAACUCAAAUGAAUUGACGGGG